Molecule: ribosomal RNA, 853 nt
Filed under: Acinetobacter nosocomialis
Lineage: Bacteria; Pseudomonadati; Pseudomonadota; Gammaproteobacteria; Moraxellales; Moraxellaceae
Description: partial 23S ribosomal RNA
Rfam family: Bacterial large subunit ribosomal RNA
Source: RNAcentral
CUCCGGGGAGGCGGCAAAUAUCCUUUGAUCCGGAGAUGUCUGAAUGGGGGAACCCACCUACUUUAAGGUAGGUAUUGCAACAUGAAUACAUAGUGUUGCAAGGCGAACGAGGGGAAGUGAAACAUCUCAGUACCCUUAGGAAAAGAAAUCAAUUGAGAUUCCCUCAGUAGCGGCGAGCGAACGGGGAUCAGCCCAUUAAGUUAUGUGUGUUUUAGUGGAACGCUCUGGGAAGUGCGAACGUAGAGGGUGAUAUUCCCGUACACGAAAGGGCACACAUAAUGAUGACGAGUAGGGCGAGGCACGUGAAACCUUGUCUGAAUAUGGGGGGACCAUCCUCCAAGGCUAAAUACUCCUGACUGACCGAUAGUGAACCAGUACCGUGAGGGAAAGGCGAAAAGAACCCCUGUGAGGGGAGUGAAAUAGAUCCUGAAACCGCAUGCAUACAAGCAGUGGGAGCACCUUCGUGGUGUGACUGCGUACCUUUUGUAUAAUGGGUCAGCGACUUAUAUUCAGUAGCGAGGUUAACCGUAUAGGGGAGCCGUAGAGAAAUCGAGUCUUAAUAGGGCGUUUAGUUGCUGGGUAUAGACCCGAAACCAGGCGAUCUAUCCAUGAGCAGGUUGAAGGUUGGGUAACACUAACUGGAGGACCGAACCCACUGUCGUUGAAAAGCCAGGGGAUGACUUGUGGAUAGGGGUGAAAGGCUAAUCAAGCCUGGUGAUAGCUGGUUCUCCCCGAAAGCUAUUUAGGUAGCGCCUCGGACGAAUACCAUAGGGGGUAGAGCACUGUUUCGGCUAGGGGGUCAUCCCGACUUACCAAACCGAUGCAAACUCCGAAUACCUAUGAGUACUAUCCG